RNAcentral lists this ribosomal RNA (200 nucleotides) under uncultured bacterium. Its description in RNAcentral is "partial 16S ribosomal RNA". It matches the Rfam family "Bacterial small subunit ribosomal RNA", at positions 8 to 238 of the family's 1533-position model. The record is from RNAcentral.
AGAGUUUGAUCCUGGCUCAGAAUGAACGCUGGCGGCAGGCCUAACACAUGCAAGUCGAACGCACCGCAAGGUGAGUGGCAGACGGGUGAGUAACGCGUGGGAACCUUCCCUUUGGUUCAGGAUAGCCCCGGGAAACUGGGAUUAAUACUGGAUAAGAUCUACGGAUGAAAGAUUUAUCGCCGAAGGAUGGGCCCGCGUAA